RNAcentral lists this transfer RNA (73 nucleotides) under Marmota monax (woodchuck). RNAcentral describes it as "tRNA.Ala". The stretch from base 11 to 66 matches the Rfam family "tRNA", at positions 9 to 63 of the family's 71-position model. From Rfam's summary of the family: Transfer RNA (tRNA) molecules are approximately 80 nucleotides in length. Their secondary structure includes four short double-helical elements and three loops (D, anti-codon, and T loops). Lineage: Eukaryota; Metazoa; Chordata; Mammalia; Rodentia; Sciuridae. The record is from RNAcentral.
GCUGGGCUGGGGCUCAGAGGCAGAGCGCUCGCCUGGCACGUGUGAGGCCCUGGGUUCGAUUCUCAGCUCCACA